This 4613-nucleotide long non-coding RNA is filed under the name Danio rerio (zebrafish). Its description in RNAcentral is "lncRNA (ENSDARG00000117594.1)". The record is from RNAcentral. Lineage: Eukaryota; Metazoa; Chordata; Actinopteri; Cypriniformes; Danionidae.
GACUGUCUAUUAUGUUUUCUUUGUGUAUGUGGACACGAAUAAAGUCAUACCAAUUAUUUUUAUUUACAUAAUUUGAGUUCAGAAGCAGAAAUAAUAAUAAUGACUGAAAUGGGAAACCAUAUUUGUGAAAUUCAGUAGGUGGCGAUAAUGCUAAGGAGUUUGUUGGUUACCAUAUAUGGUUUGACUAAAUCGUGUGUGCUAGAAUGUGUGCCUAAAACUUGUGUGGUUCUGCGGUUCUGCAGCUGGAUAUAUCUCGUUGAGUCUGCAGCCAGACAGUUGCAGUCAGCUAUAUUAUCGGAUAAAGAAAAAUGCUUUUUGAAACAUUGGUAUUAGUGUACUUUUUGGGACUUGGAUUUGCAGUAGUGCAUAGAAGCCAAGGUUCCCUCUACACGAAAUACGAAGUGGGUGAUUCAGCUACUCUCUAUUGCAACGUUAGCACAGAUGAAGAAGUCGUAAACAGCUGCACAUUUUUGUGGGAAAUUACCGACGAACUUAAGAAUGACUUCAUAGAUAUCACAACCACGCCGAAAUAUCACAACAGAGUCAGUGUGGCAUCCCAAGACCUUUCAAGCAUGAUGACCAUACGAGAUCUGGCGGACACCGACACAGACGAGAUAAUGUGCACACCAUUGUGUUAUAUUUAUGAUGAUCUUCGUUACAUCUUGGGUAACGGGACAACUCUAAAAAUAACAGAACAAGAAAAGAAAAUAAAGGAACAAGAAAAUUUGGGAUUUCCAUGGCUGAAGUACCUCAUAUUCUCACUCAAUUGUAUAAUUUUCAGCAUUUCAAUGGUAAUCUGUAUCUAUAUUAUUCGAAAACGGCGUUUUGGGAAAUGUGCCCAAAACGAAUAAUAAUGCACUUUUAAACAAUUCUCAUGCCUAAAUCUAAAUGGUUAGGCGUUAAUUUCAUUCAACUAAAAUUGACGAGAUCAAAUGAUUUCGAAAGUGAAAGCAUUUUAAACUAAACAAAGGUGGGGUUAUUUUUUUUUCUAAAUGUUGACGAGGUUUAUUAAUUCGAUUAACAUUUAGCAAUAAAGCAGUCAAACUCAAACUAUCACAAAGGUGUUUAGUUUAGGCUAUUUUGCUUUGCUGUUUAUUUUGACGCAGUUUAUUGUUUCGAUUUAGAUUUACCAGUUAUGCACUAUAUGCUAUAAUCAACUGAUUUUUAAACACCUUGUCUUCGUAAGGAAGUAGGCCUAUAUAAAUGUAAUGUAAUAUCGUGUCAAAAUAUUUUCUUAAAAAAGUCAUAGCUGAAAUAAUCCGUUUCCAGCCAUUUUAAGUCAAAAUGUAACAAGCUCUCUUUAAAUAUAGCUUUGCCAUAUACAGUAUAUAAAAUGUUUUUAAAUCUGUAAUACUUAAUAUUUACGUAUGUACGACAAUUUUUAUUUAAAAAAAAAUUGGAUUAAAGGUCAGAAAAAACAAGUCUUGAGCCAGAAAAACAACUUACCAGUCGUUUUGCAAUUCCAUAAAUGAAAGUGUUUACCUUAUAGGUCGAUUUUUCCUUUACAGGUCGAUUUUUUUCUAUAAAUAGGAGGGACCAGGUUCUCAGAUUACACCUGUGUGUGAAGAUUGGAUUGUUCUCUUCCAUCAAUCUUUGACAACAAAAACUGAAAAUAUGUAUAAAAUAUGUAUUUAACAUUAUUACAAAUACAUUUUCAAGUAUCUCACUUCAUUUGUUUUAUUAAUUUUAAUUCUCAAGUAUAUAAAAAAUGUAAUAAUAGAGAAUUUUCUGUCAGGGCAUUUUCCAAUAACUGUACAAGCAACACCACUGUAAAAGUAAACAAUAUGUAGAGAAUAUUUGAAAUACAAAUAAAGUUUUUACAGUUUACAGUACUUUUUAUAUAAUCAUGCAUUAUUUAAAAAAAAAAAAAAAUAUAUAUAUAUAUAUGUGUGUGUGUGUGUGUGUGUGUGUGUGUGUGUGUGUGUGUGUGUGUAUAUAUAUAUAUAUAUAUAUAUAUAUAUAUAUAUAUAAUUAUUUAAAAUAUUUAUUUAAAUCUAAUAUAUAUAAUUAUUAAAUCUAUAUAUAUAUAUAUAUAUAUAUAUAUAUAUAUAUAUAUAUAUAUAUAUAUAUAUAUAUAUAUAUAUAUAUAUAUAUAAUGUGCAUUGGCAAAAUGUGACAAACCACUCCACUGUGGGAAGAAAAAUAGCAGGGUUAUUUAGAUUUAAAUAAAUAUUUUUAAAAAAAAUUCACUUUCCAUAUGUUCCCAUUUUUAUAUCAUUUGAAGCUUUUUUUUUUUUACAAGUGACAAUAAUUUUAAAACUGUUAGACUGGCUAUUGUGUACUGUGUAUAUUAUGGAUCAUACACACAGGCGUCAUGGUGGCACAGUGGGUAGCAAGAUUCGAGCAUCGGCUGGGUCAGUUGGCAUUUCUAUGUCGAGAUUGCAUGUUCUCCCCGUGUUGGCGUGGGUUUCCUCCGGGUGCUCCGGUUUCCCCCCAGUUUUUUUAAAGUGUAAAAAUCAAGAGAAAUUAAAAUAUAUAACUAUUUGUUGAAAUUUUUUAGUUUUAACAAUUUGUUUAAAUUAAAAUGUUCUAUCUUUAAAUUUCUAAAUGUUCGGUGACUAAAAUAUAAGUUUAUAAAUACAUCUGUUUAGGUGACGCAGUGGCGCAGUAGGUAGUGCUGUCGCCUCACAGCAAGAAGGUCGCUAAAUCAAGCCUCUGCUGGGUCAGUUGCCGUUUCUGUGUGGAGUUUGCAUGUUCUCCCUGUGUUCACGUGGGUUUCCUCCGGGUGCUCUGGUUUCCCCCACAGUCCAAAGACAUGCGGUACAGGUGAAUUGGGUAAGCUAAAUUGUCCGUAGUGUAUGAGUGUGAAUGAGUGUGUAUGGUUGUUUCCCAGAGAUGGGUUGUGGCUGGAUGGGCAUCCACUGCGUAAAACAAAUGCUGGAUAAGUUGGAAGGUCACUCCGCUGUGGCGACCCUGGAUUGAUAAAGGGACUGAGCCAAAAAGAAAAUGAAUGAAUGUAUGAAUAUAUCUGUUUACAUGCCUAUAUUCACUGAAAAAUGGAUAAAAAUAUUCAUUUUUAAAAUGGGGUGUACUCUAUUAAGCUGAGCACUGUAUGCACAUUUAUAUAUGUACUGUAUGCAAAAAAAAAAAAGGUUUGUGCAGUUCUAUUUGAAUGUAUGUGUAAAUAUAAUGAAGAUACUGUAUAAUGCACAAAUAAAAUAAUAAAGUAAAAUAUAUAAUGCACACACAUCAAAACAAACUUUUGUUUUUGUGUAUGUGUGUAAAUGAAAUUGUAUGGGUGUUUCCCAGUUAUAGGUUGCAGCUGGAAGGGCAUCCAAAGCUCAAAACAUGUCUUGGAUAAGUUGGUGGUUCAUUCUGCUGUGGCGACCCCAGAUUAAUAAAGAGACUAAGCCAAAGGAAAAUGUAUGAACAAAAAAUUGCGAUUAAUCUUUGCCAGGCACUUGGAAAAAAAAAAACAUUUUUAAAAAACUCAAAAUGUUUCUGUGCCUCUAUAGAUUUAUGUUUGUAUGGGAUGUUUUUACCACAAUAACUGCUAGCACGGAGUCUAAUAUAGAUGCUGAUAAGUUAAGGUUUAAAUUGUAAAUCAAUCUUUUCAGAAAUGUAUUAACUUGUAAUGUUUUUCAUAGGUUUAAAAGCACAAUUGCACUGAUAUGUUAGGAGAGAGGGGGGUGGGGGGUGGCACUAUGCUCAGUGGUUACUGCUGUCGCCUCACAGCAAGAAGGUCGCUGGUUCGAGCCUUAACUGGGUCAGUUGGCAUUUCUGUGUAGAGUUUGCAUGUUCUCCCUAUGUUCGUGUGCGUUUUGUACGGGUGCUCCGAUUUUCCCCACAGUACAAAGACAUGCACUAAAGGUAAAUUGAGUAAACUAAAUUGAUAGUAUAAGAGUGUGUUUCCCAGUACUGGGUUGUGGCUGGAAGUCCAUCUGCUGCAUAAAAAUAAAUGAAAGUUGUGGUCAGAUGUCUCACUCAGUAUGCAAAGAUCUUGUGCAUUGAGAAGCUUGUUUUUUUACAGUUGCCCCAAAAAUUAUCAUGUUAAAAAUUAUGCUGUUUUUGGCAACUAUACAGUGCACUGAUAUACGACAUUAGGCAUAACCAGAGAUUGAGCUGAUGGAACAUUUAGAAAGUAUUUCCUGUCUAUAUAUGUACUUUCAUGUCAGCUAAGACAUCUUCUUUCAUGCCAAAAUAUAUAUGAGGUUUUAAUUACAAAUGUUUAACAUUUAAAAGGGAUUAUGUUUACUCAGACGUGUUGCUAUGGCUAUAGAAAGAAAUGCUCACUUAAUUAUAUGCUAUGUGUAUGGAUGAAAUGUUAAAUAUUAACAACAUCAUAUAGGCUAGUUAGCAUGCCUUGAAAAGUUUUUGCAACAUCAUUGCAUCCUGCCACAAUACCCCAUAAGCUCUAUCUGUUUUUGUGUUUCUUAACCACAGCACAGAACUCAAAAUAAUAUUUAAAGUGAUGAUGAAUGAUACCAUUCUUAUUUUAAAACAUGAUUAAAGUAACUUCUUGAUAGACCUGUAAACUUGAGAUUAUCAGUGUAAAUUGUACUCUUUAUUGUGAACUGCAAAUUAGGUGUGUUUUAAAGUUAAAAAAAGCUUGUACUUCCUGUUUUUAUGCUUUGUUUAAAAGCAACCCUGCUCAAAUAAAAAAAUAAAAUGAA